UGGCACAAUGGUUAAGCAUUUGGCUGCUAACCAAAAAAUUUGGUGGUUUGAAUCCACC
RNAcentral lists this transfer RNA (58 nucleotides) under Loxodonta africana (African savanna elephant). It matches the Rfam family "tRNA", at positions 8 to 63 of the family's 71-position model. From Rfam's summary of the family: Transfer RNA (tRNA) molecules are approximately 80 nucleotides in length. Their secondary structure includes four short double-helical elements and three loops (D, anti-codon, and T loops). The record is from Rfam by way of RNAcentral. Lineage: Eukaryota; Metazoa; Chordata; Mammalia; Proboscidea; Elephantidae.